Molecule: ribosomal RNA, 445 nt
Filed under: uncultured bacterium
Lineage: Bacteria
Description: partial 16S ribosomal RNA
Rfam family: Bacterial small subunit ribosomal RNA
Source: RNAcentral
GUGAGGAAUAUUGGUCAAUGGGCGAGAGCCUGAACCAGCCAAGUCGCGUGAAGGAAGAAGGAUCUAUGGUUCGUAAACUUCUUUUGCAGGGGAAUAAAGUGCAGGACGUGUCCUGUUUUGUGUGUACCCUGAGAAUAAGGAUCGGCUAACUCCGUGCCUGCAGCCGCGGUAAUACGGAGGAUCCGAGCGUUAUCCGGAUUUAUUGGGUUUAAAGGGUGCGUAGGUGGAUUGAUAAGUCAGCGGUGAAAGUUUGCAGCUUAACUGUAAAAAUGCCGUUGAAACUGUCGGACUUGAGUGUAAAUGAGGUAGGCGGAAUGCGUGGUGUAGCGGUGAAAUGCAUAGAUAUCACGCAGAACUCCGAUUGCGAAGGCAGCUUACUAAGCUACAACUGACACUGAAGCACGAAAGCGUGGGGAUCAAACAGGAUUAGAAACCCCAGUAGUCC